GGGGAUAAAGACAGUAUGGUGUCUGUAUGGGGAUAAAGACAGUAUGGUGCCUGUAUGGGGAUAAAGACAGUAUGGUGCCUGUAUGGGGAUAAAGACAGUAUGGUGCCUGUAUGGGGAUAAAGACAGUAUGGUGCCUGUAUGGGGAUAAAGACAGUAUGGUGUCUGUAUGGGGAUAAAGACAGUAUGGUGCCUGUAUGGGGAUAAAGACAGUAUGGUGCCUGUAUGGGGAUAAAGACAGUAUGGUGCCUGUAUGGGGAUAAAGACAGUAUGAUGCCUGUAUGGGGAUAAAGACAGUAUGGUGCCUGUAUGGGGAUAAAGACAGUAUGGUGCCUGUAUGGGGAUAAAGACAGUAUGGUGUCUGUAUGGGGAUAAAGACAGUAUGGUGUCUGUAUGGGGAUAAAGACAGUAUGGUGUCUGUAUGGGGAUAAAGACAGUAUGGUGCCUGUAUGGGGAUAAAGACAGUAUGGUGUCUGUAUGGGGAUAAAGACAGUAUGGUGUCUGUAUGGGGAUAAAGACAGUAUGGUGUCUGUAUGGGGAUAAAGACAGUAUGGUGCCUGUAUGGGGAUAAAGACAGUAUGGUGUCUGUAUGGGGAUAAAGACAGUAUGGUGCCUGUAUGGGGAUAAAGACAGUAUGGUGCCUGUAUGGGGAUAAAGACAGUAUGGUGCCUGUAUGGGGAUAAAGACAGUAUGGUGUCUGUAUGGGGAUAAAGACAGUAUGGUGCCUGUAUGGGGAUAAAGACAGUAUGGUGCCUGUAUGGGGAUAAAGACAGUAUGGUGCCUGUAUGGGGAUAAAGACAGUAUGGUGCCUGUAUGGGGAUAAAGACAGUAUGGUGUCUGUAUGGGGAUAAAGACAGUAUGGUGUCUGUAUGGGGAUAAAGACAGUAUGGUGUCUGUAUGGGGAUAAAGACAGUAUGGUGCCUGUAUGGGGAUAAAGAGAUACAGGAUAAAGACAGUAUGGUGUCUGUAUGGGGAUAAAGACAGUAUGGUGCCUGUAUGGGGAUAAAGACAGUAUGGUGUCUGUAUGGGGGACACAGAGAUACAGGAUAAAGACAGUAUGGUGUCUGUAUGGGGACACAGAGAUACAGGAUGAAGACAGUAUGGUGUCUGUAUGGGGAUAAAGACAGUAUGGUGCCUGUAUGGGGAUAAAGACAGUAUGGUGCCUGUAUGGGGAUAAAGACAGUAUGGUGCCUGUAUGGGGAUAAAGACAGUAUGGUGCCUGUAUGGGGAUAAAGACAGUAUGGUGCCUGUAUGGGGAUAAAGACAGUAUGGUGCCUGUAUGGGGAUAAAGACAGUAUGGUGUCUGUAUGGGGAUAAAGACAGUAUGGUGUCUGUAUGGGGAUAAAGACAGUAUGGUGCCUGUAUGGGGAUAAAGACAGUAUGGUGCCUGUAUGGGGAUAAAGACAGUAUGGUGUCUGUAUGGGGAUAAAGACAGUAUGGUGUCUGUAUGGGGAUAAAGACAGUAUGGUGUCUGUAUGGGGAUAAAGACAGUAUGGUGUCUGUAUGGGGAUAAAGACAGUAUGGUGUCUGUAUGGGGAUAAAGACAGUAUGGUGUCUGUAUGGGGAUAAAGACAGUAUGGUGUCUGUAUGGGGAUAAAGACAGUAUGGUGCCUGUAUGGGGAUAAAGACAGUAUGGUGCCUGUAUGGGGAUAAAGACAGUAUGGUGCCUGUAUGGGGAUAAAGACAGUAUGGUGCCUGUAUGGGGAUAAAGACAGUAUGGUGCCUGUAUGGGGAUAAAGACAGUAUGGUGCCUGUAUGGGGAUAAAGACAGUAUGGUGCCUGUAUGGGGAUAAAGACAGUAUGGUGCCUGUAUGGGGAUAAAGACAGUAUGGUGCCUGUAUGGGGAUAAAGACAGUAUGGUGUCUGUAUGGGGAUAAAGACAGUAUGGUGUCUGUAUGGGGAUAAAGACAGUAUGGUGUCUGUAUGGGGAUAAAGACAGUAUGGUGUCCUGUAGGGGAUAAAGACAGUAUGGUGCCUGUAUGGGGAUAAAGACAGUAUGGUGCCUGUAUGGGAUAAAGACAGUAUGGUGCCUGUAUGGGGAUAAAGACAGUAUGGUGCCUGUAUGGGGAUAAAGACAGUAUGGUGCUGUAUGGGGAAACAGUAUGGUGCCUGUAUGGGGAUAAAGACAGUAUGGUGCCUGUAUGGGGAUAAAGACAGUAUGGUGUCUGUAUGGGGAUAAAGACAGUAUGGUGCCUGUAUGGGGAUAAGACAGUAUGGUGCCUGUAUGGGAUAAAGACAGUAUGGUGCCUGUAUGGGGAUAAAGACAGUAUGGUGCCUGUAUGGGGAUAAAGACAGUAUGGUGCCUGUAUGGGGAUAAAGACCAGUAUGGUGCCUGUAUGGGGAUAAGACAGUAUGGUGGCCUGUAAUGGGGAUAAAGACAGUAUGGUGCCUGUAUGGGGAUAAAGACAGUAUGGUGCCUGUAUGGGGAUAAAGACAGUAUGGUGCCUGUAUGGGGAUAAAGACAGUAUGGGUGCCUGUAUGGGGAUAAAGACAGUAUGGUGGUCUGUAUGGGGAUAAAGACAGUAUGGUGUCUGUAUGGGAUAAAGACCAGUAUGGUGCCUGUAUGGGGAUAAGACAGUAUGGUGCCUGUAUGGGGAUAAAGACAGUAUGGUGCCUGUUAUGGGGAUA
Molecule: long non-coding RNA, 2625 nt
Organism: Oncorhynchus kisutch (coho salmon)
Lineage: Eukaryota; Metazoa; Chordata; Actinopteri; Salmoniformes; Salmonidae
Source: Ensembl